This 527-nucleotide ribosomal RNA is filed under the name Bacillaceae bacterium PF2-19. RNAcentral describes it as "bacterial SSU rRNA". It matches the Rfam family "Bacterial small subunit ribosomal RNA", at positions 140 to 653 of the family's 1533-position model. Lineage: Bacteria; Bacillati; Bacillota; Bacilli; Caryophanales; Bacillaceae. The record is from RNAcentral.
GGGAUAACUUCGGGAAACCGGAGCUAAUACCGGAUGUUAGAUGAAUCGCGCAUGCGUUUUAUCUUAAAGUUGGCCUCGGCUACACUACAAGAUGGGCCUGCGGCGCAUUAGCUAGUUGGUAAGGUAGGGGUUACCAAGGCGACGAUGCGUAGCCAACCUGAGAGGGUGAUCGGCCACACUGGGACUGAGACACGGCCCAGACUCCUACGGGAGGCAGCAGUAGGGAAUCUUCCGCAAUGGACGAAAGUCUGACGGAGCAACGCCGCGUGAGCGAUGAAGGCCUUCGGGUCGUAAAGCUCUGUUGUUAGGGAAGAACAAGUGCCGUUCGAAUAGGUCGGCACCUUGACGGUACCUAACCAGAAAGCCACGGCUAACUACGUGCCAGCAGCCGCGGUAAUACGUAGGUGRCAAGCGUUGUCCGGAAUUAUUGGGCGUAAAGCGCGCGCAGGCGGUCUUUUAAGUCUGAUGUGAAAGCCCACGGCUCAACCGUGGAGGGUCAUUGGAAACUGGGAGACUUGAGUACAGAA